RNAcentral lists this long non-coding RNA (1617 nucleotides) under Rattus norvegicus (Norway rat). Its description in RNAcentral is "long non-coding RNA NONRATT008344". Lineage: Eukaryota; Metazoa; Chordata; Mammalia; Rodentia; Muridae. The record is from RNAcentral.
UAUAAUAUUCUUUAUUUCCCUGGUGCUGACGAACAAGAACACAGUAGCAGAACCCUGUUAGCCAGGGAUGAUAGAAGAGAGGCACACUUGAGUGGGUCUACAAAGCUACCAUCAUCUGAUAAAGUGUGUCCACUUGUCCUUGGACCAUAGCAUCUUGAGAAGAAUAGGGCUGUUGUGGGAUCCUGAGCUACUCAACUGCUUUGAAAGAUUGGACCCUAACCCUUUAGGACAUGGAGGAGGCAUUGUCAAAUGCUAACAAGGUAGUGAAAGGAAACACGGAGAGUUCUGUGGGUAGAGCUUGCUUUCUUAGGUUUGUUUCUGAGCUCCUGAAUCAAGCAGUUUAAAAUCUUUUUUUGUAACCAUACAAUUUAGGACUAGUGGAACUUCAUAAAAAUUUCAUAUACCUAGGUUCCUAAUUUUUAGCAGACAGAAAGUGAUGUCUCUUGUUGAGUCAGCACACUGCAGGGGCUGCAGUGCUCCAGGACCAUUAGUUCCCGCAUUAUCUUUGGUAUUCUUAAGACCCAUGCUGUGUUGUGAAUGAGAAUGCUGGUGGUCAGGGCCACAUGAGUGCGUUCUUGGUCUCCAUGGCCAGCUUCCACUGUGCCUCUUGAACUCCAAGAGAAGCGUUUGCUAAGACCUUGAGAAAUGACCUUCAGAAAAGUGAGGAUUCAGAAACCAAGGGAAGGUGAGGUGCUCCCUGCAGCUCCUUAUCACCUCUCUCUGAGGGCAGAGGCAGUGCCUGGUGAGCACACUGCACACACAUACUCCUUCCCUGUAGACCCUGCACUUCCUCUCCUUUGCAAUCUGAUUCUGUAAUGACUAUCAGUGGAGCUGCCCCAACUUUGUGUUUGCUUGAUAAAAGUAAAUUUGAACAUUUUGUGGUGGUUGAUAGAACUUUUUUCCUAAAACUUGCUAAUUCAGACUCUUUAAAACUCUAAUGUUUAUACCAAAGGUUACACUGCAGGCGUAGGUAGUACACAGAGGGUGACGCCCACAGUGGGCACUCUGUGCAUUGCUAAGGGGACACAGUGCCCAGUGAGACCAUAUGGGAUUUUACUAAAACACAUCAGUCAUGGGUCACACUACCACUGUUGUCAAGUAUUUGUUCUUAAUUGUUAUUGUAAUAUAUUUUCAAUUGUUCUUCUAAUUUAAUUUUCUCACUCUGUUGUCUGACUGUGAACUGCUAACAGUGUUAAAAACUUGAUGUAAAUAAAUGAUGCCCCUGGCAGGGACUGCUUCCUGCCAUGUCUCACAAGGUUUGCAAGUUGUGUUUUGUUUUAAAUAAAAGUUGAAAUAUUUUAUAGGCAAAGUGGGUUUGAAUUGGAGUAUUUCUCCCAGGAUUUUAAUUGACAGGGAAACUAAACAGAUCUUUACCAGCAUAUAUAGUAGAUAACAGUAAAGUCCAGAAGAUGAUCAUUAAGCCUCCUCUGACACAUUCUUCUGGAGUGUGUGCUGUGGUCUGAAUCCUCACCCUACUGUACAGAUGGUACUUUCUGGAGCCUGGGCUGGCAGACAUCAGGUACUGUAUGAGUGUGUGUCUAAUGUGAAGGACUACACACAGAUACUUAACUCUCUGAACAGUCAUUCUGAACACAAGUGCAAAUGUUCUUAAAGUGU